AGGGAUCAUUACAGAGUUCUCGCCCUCGCGGGUAGAUCUCCCACCCACUGUGAUUGCUACCGUGUUGCUUUGGCGGGCCGCCGGGCCCAGCCCAGCCGCCGGCCCCGGCCGGCGCGUGCCCGCCAGAAGCCCCGCAAACUCUGAAUGUCAGCGUCGUCUGAGUACUAUACAAUAGUUAAAACUUUCAACAACGGAUCUCUUGGUUCUG
Molecule: unclassified non-coding RNA, 208 nt
Filed under: uncultured fungus
Lineage: Eukaryota; Fungi
Description: partial contains 5.8S ribosomal RNA, internal transcribed spacer 2, and large subunit ribosomal RNA
Source: RNAcentral